GAAAUCCUGUCUGAACAUGGGGAGACCACUCUCCAAGCCUAAGUACUCGUGCAUGACCGAUAGCGAACAAGUACCGUGAGGGAAAGGUGAAAAGCACCCCGACAAGGGGAGUGAAAUAGAACCUGAAACCGGAUGCCUACAAACAGUCGGAGCCCGCAAGGGUGACGGCGUACCUUUUGUAUAAUGGGUCAACGACUUAGUGUAACAAGCAAGCUUAAGCCGGUAGGUGUAGGCGAAGCGAAAGCGAGUCUGAAUAGGGCGAUUUAGUUUGUUGCAUUAGACCCGAAACCGAGUGAUCUAGCCAUGAGCAGGUUGAAGGUUGGGUAACACCAACUGGAGGACCGAACCCGCAUCUGUUGCAAUAGAUUGGGAUGACUUGUGGCUAGGGGUGAAAGGCCAAUCAAACUCGGAAAUAGCUGGUUCUCCGCGAAAUCUAUUUAGGUAGAGCGUCGAGCGAAUACCCCCGGGGGUAGAGCACUGGAUGGGCUAUGGGGACUCACCGUCUUACUGAUCCUAACCAAACUCCGAAUACCGGGGAGUACUACUCGGCAGACACACGGCGGGUGCUAACGUCCGUCGUGAAAAGGGCAACAACCCUAACCUCCAGCUAAGGUCCCCAAGUCAUGGCUAAGUGGGAAAGGAUGUGAGGAUCCCAAAACAACCAGGAUGUUGGCUUAGAAGCAGCCAUCAUUUAAAGAAAGCGUAACAGCUCACUGGUCUAAAUAAGGGUCUUUGCGCCGAAAAUGUAACGGGGCUGAAGCCAUGCACCGAAGCUGAGGAUUUGCGAGCAAUCGCAAGUGGUAGCGGAGCGUUCCGUAAGCUGAUGAAGGGAGACCUGUGAGGGCUCCUGGAGGUAUCGGAAGUGCGAAUGUUGACAUGAGUAACGAUAAAGAGGGUGAGAGACCCUCUCGCCGAAAGACCAAGGGUUCCUGCUUAAAGUUAAUCUGAGCAGGGUUAGCCGGCCCCUAAGGCGAGGCAGAAAUGCGUAGUCGAUGGGAACCACGUUAAUAUUCGUGGGCCUGGUGGUAGUGACGGAUUGCACAAGUUGUUCUGGUUUAUUGGAUUAUCAGGGCAGCGGAGCGGUUCCAGGAAAUAGCUCCACCGUAUAGACCGUACCCGAAACCGACACAGGUGGUCAGGUAGAGUAUACCAAGGCGCUUGAGAGAACUAUGUUGAAGGAACUCGGCAAAUUGCACGCGUAACUUCGGAAGAAGCGUGACCCCAUUUUACGCAAGUAUGAUGGGGUGGCACAGACCAGGGGGUAGCGACUGUUUAUCAAAAACACAGGGCUCUGCGAAGUCGCAAGACGACGUAUAGGGUCUGACGCCUGCCCGGUGCUGGAAGAUUAAAUGAUGGGGUGCAAGCUCUUGAUUGAAGUCCCAGUAAACGGCGGCCGUAACUAUAACGGUCCUAAGGUAGCGAAAUUCCUUGUCGGGUAAGUUCCGACCUGCACGAAUGGCGUAACGACUUCCCCGCUGUCUCCAACAUAGACUCAGUGAAAUUGAAUUCCCCGUGAAGAUGCGGGGUUCCUGCGGUCAGACGGAAAGACCCCGUGCACCUUUACUAUAGCUUUACACUGGCAUUCGUGUCGGCAUGUGUAGGAUAGGUGGUAGGCUUUGAAGCGGGGACGCCAGUUUCCGUGGAGCCAUCCUUGAAAUACCACCCUUAUCGUCAUGGAUGUCUAACCGCGGCCCGUCAUCCGGGUCCGGGACAGUGUAUGGUGGGUAGUUUGACUGGGGCGGUCGCCUCCGAAAGAGUAACGGAGGCGCGCGAUGGUGGGCUCAGACCGGUCGGAAAUCGGUCGUCGAGUGCAAUGGCAUAAGCCCGCCUGACUGCGAGACUGACAAGUCGAGCAGAGACGAAAGUCGGUCAUAGUGAUCCGGUGGUCCCGCGUGGAAGGGCCAUCGCUCAACGGAUAAAAGGUACGCCGGGGAUAACAGGCUGAUGACCCCCAAGAGUCCAUAUCGACGGGGUUGUUUGGCACCUCGAUGUCGGCUCAUCGCAUCCUGGGGCUGGAGCAGGUCCCAAGGGUUUGGCUGUUCGCCAAUUAAAGCGGUACGUGAGCUGGGUUCAGAACGUCGUGAGACAGUUCGGUCCCUAUCUGCCGUGGGUGUAGGAAUAUUGACAGGAUCUGUCCCUAGUACGAGAGGACCGGGAUGGACAUAUCUCUGGUGGACCUGUUGUCCUGCCAAGGGCAUAGCAGGGUAGCUAUAUAUGGACGGGAUAACCGCUGAAGGCAUCUAAGCGGGAAACCCACCUGAAAACGAGUAUUCCCUAUCAGAGCCGUGGAAGACGACCACGUUGAUAGGCCGGGUGUGGAAGUGCGGCAACGCAUGAAGCUUACCGGUACUAAUAGCUCGAUUGGCUUGAUCGU
This 2374-nucleotide ribosomal RNA is filed under the name Rhizobium sp. JGI 0001003-A11. Its description in RNAcentral is "bacterial LSU rRNA". It matches the Rfam family "Bacterial large subunit ribosomal RNA", at positions 428 to 2925 of the family's 2925-position model. Lineage: Bacteria; Pseudomonadati; Pseudomonadota; Alphaproteobacteria; Hyphomicrobiales; Rhizobiaceae. The record is from RNAcentral.